Camelus dromedarius (Arabian camel) is the source of this 470-nucleotide long non-coding RNA. RefSeq lists it as uncharacterized. The record is from RefSeq and is a predicted model, not a curated record. Lineage: Eukaryota; Metazoa; Chordata; Mammalia; Artiodactyla; Camelidae. The transcript has 5 exons.
CUGUGGGAAGGAGGAGAUGAAAGCUGAACAGCAGAGGAAGAAGUUGGAUCACAGCACAGUCCAAAGAGAAGCCUUGGCUGACACCUUAGAGAACCCCGAGAUGGAAUGGACCUUCACAGCUGUCCCAAGUUGGGGAAGACACUCUUGUUUCUGUGAUCCUUCCAGAUUUUACAGUUUGUAAGAACUGGAGAAAAACCAUAAAGAAUAAAGUUAAGGCAAUAAUUCUGCGUUGGUCUGGAUUGUUCCUCUACGCUCUCAGAACCUCUUCAGGCAAUAAGCCUGAGGAGGAAGACGUCGGUUGGAGCAGGAGUGGCAGAACUUCGGAGGUGUAUGGCUAUAACCUGGAUAUACAGCCUGGAUUACAGAAAGCUGCCUUAGGAACUUGUGAGUGGAUGGCUGCAAGUGGAGGAAGGAUGCUGAAGUCACUGUCCAAAGAAAAGCUGCCCAGGACUCAGCCAACUCACAUCCGG